CGACGGCGUGGAGUCUGUGCCCUGUUCCUCCCACACACGAGUGUUCGUUCAUGUUCGGCCUUGUGUCUGAGCAUUUCCUCUCGGUGUGUCUGUAACGAGGAAGCCACGGGCAGGUCGCACACAAACGUGUGGCUGCCGAGUGUGCGAGUGUGGCAACGUGUGGCAACUAUUCUGGUUUGCCAGCGACGUUUCCACAUAAACACUGGUGGCAGCUGCUGCCAUGGCAACACCAUUGUGCUCCCUCCCUCCCUCGCUCGUCUCCCCUCCCUCUCCCCAACCACUCCUCGCUCUCAUGCUCCGCCGGCUCAGAGAGCGAGGACCAGAGAGGAGAGAGGUCAGCUCGAUUCAGAGGACAGAAAGAAGAAAGGAAUAACCCGGAGUGGACGGGGACAGGAUGAGCGAGGACAGCCACUCCCACUACAGGCUGGACCCCAGCGAUCGCCUCAACGGGCUGGGACAGAGGAGGAAGAGACCCAAGAAGUCUGAAGCAGGCAGCAGUGCUGAACCUACCAGUGUAAAUGUGAUGGUGGAAGCAGAGGCCAGCACUUGGCAGUGCUAAACACAAUAAAAGACUCACAAGUUCCUGCUCAAAGUAACGCUUGUUCAUCUGUUGC
Molecule: long non-coding RNA, 614 nt
Organism: Astatotilapia calliptera (eastern happy)
Lineage: Eukaryota; Metazoa; Chordata; Actinopteri; Cichliformes; Cichlidae
Source: Ensembl